This 257-nucleotide unclassified non-coding RNA is filed under the name Glomeraceae sp. RNAcentral describes it as "partial contains 5.8S ribosomal RNA and internal transcribed spacer 2". The stretch from base 1 to 65 matches the Rfam family "5.8S ribosomal RNA", at positions 84 to 154 of the family's 154-position model. Lineage: Eukaryota; Fungi; Glomeromycota; Glomeromycetes; Glomerales; Glomeraceae. The record is from RNAcentral.
GUGAAUCAUCGAAUCUUUGAACGCAAAUCGCACUCUCUUCGGAGAGUAUGACUGUUUGAGGGUCAGUAUUAAUAAAAAUCGGUGUGUUGCUACUUUGUGACGCUCCGGAGUUUGGGUCAUAUUAAUAGCCUUUAGGUUUUAAGUGGCUUAAAAUUGAUUUUUUUUGCGCAUUGUAGAUGUACAUAAAUUCUUUUUUAUAUUCGUUUGUAUUAAUGCUCAUAGUACUAUUAGAUGUGACCAUAUCGUGUGGUUUCGUA